AUAUCUCUCUGUACGGGAAGGAUGAGAAGCUUCGACUAAGGUUCAAUUCGAGCGAAAGCGAGAAAGCGUUGCCAACGGCAACGACCCGAAGGGCGAAGCGCGCAGCGCUGAGUAAUCCUUCCCCCACCACCA
Molecule: small RNA, 132 nt
Filed under: Salmonella enterica
Lineage: Bacteria; Pseudomonadati; Pseudomonadota; Gammaproteobacteria; Enterobacterales; Enterobacteriaceae
Description: RtT sRNA
Rfam family: RtT RNA
About the family: This family represents a bacterial cis-regulatory element known as RtT RNA. The exact function of RtT is unknown although it is thought that it may be involved in changing the cellular response in relation to amino acid starvation.
Source: RNAcentral